This 377-nucleotide ribosomal RNA is filed under the name uncultured bacterium. RNAcentral's name for it is "bacterial SSU rRNA". It matches the Rfam family "Bacterial small subunit ribosomal RNA", at positions 524 to 898 of the family's 1533-position model. The record is from RNAcentral.
UACGUAGGGUCCGAGCGUUGUCCGGAAUUAUUGGGCGUAAAGAGCUCGUAGGCGGUCUGUCGCGUCUGCUGUGAAAACGCGGGGCUCAACCCCGCGCCUGCAGUGGGUACGGGCAGACUAGAGUGCGGUAGGGGAGACUGGAAUUCCUGGUGUAGCGGUGGAAUGCGCAGAUAUCAGGAGGAACACCGGUGGCGAAGGCGGGUCUCUGGGCCGUUACUGACGCUGAGGAGCGAAAGCAUGGGGAGCGAACAGGAUUAGAUACCCUGGUAGUCCAUGCCGUAAACGUUGGGCACUAGGUGUGGGACCCAUUCCACGGGUUCCGUGCCGCAGCUAACGCAUUAAGUGCCCCGCCUGGGGAGUACGGCCGCAAGGCUAAA